Molecule: ribosomal RNA, 253 nt
Filed under: uncultured bacterium
Lineage: Bacteria
Description: partial 16S ribosomal RNA
Rfam family: Bacterial small subunit ribosomal RNA
Source: RNAcentral
UACGUAGGUGGCGAGCGUUGUCCGGAUUUACUGGGCGUAAAGGGAGCAUAGGCGGACUUUUAAGUGAGAUGUGAAAUACUCGGGCUCAACUUGAGUGCUGCAUUUCAAACUGGAAGUCUAGAGUGCAGGAGAGGAGAAUGGAAUUCCUAGUGUAGCGGUGAAAUGCGUAGAGAUUAGGAAGAACACCAGUGGCGAAGGCGAUUCUCUGGACUGUAACUGACGCUGAGGCUCGAAAGCGUGGGGAGCAAACAGG